RNAcentral lists this ribosomal RNA (253 nucleotides) under uncultured bacterium. RNAcentral's name for it is "partial 16S ribosomal RNA". It matches the Rfam family "Bacterial small subunit ribosomal RNA", at positions 524 to 776 of the family's 1533-position model. The record is from RNAcentral.
UACAGGGGGGGCAAGCGUUGUUCGGAAUUACUGGGCGUAAAGGGCUCGUAGGCGGCCAACUAAGUCCGACGUGAAAUCCCAAAGCUUAACUUUGGAACUGCGUCGGAUACUGGAUGGCUUGAAUUCGGGAGAGGGAUGCAGAAUUCCAGGUGUAGCGGUGAAAUGCGUAGAUAUCUGGAGGAAUACCGGUGGCGAAGGCGGCAUCCUGGACCGACAUUGACGCUGAUGCGCGAAAGCCAGGGGAGCAAACGGG